AGGGUUUGAUCAUGGGUAGGAUGAAGGCUGGCGGCGUGCCUAAUACAUGCAAGUCGAACGGGGAGUAUUAAUUUCGAUUUUUACUCCUAGUGGCGAACGGGUGAGUAACGCGUUGGUGACCUGCCCCGAAGCGGGGGACAACAGUUCGAAAGGACUGCUAAUACCCCAUGUGGUCGUACAGGUUAGAGGCUGAACGACUAAAGGAGCAAUCCACUUCGGGAGGGGCCUGCGUCCCAUCAGCUAGUUGGUAAGGUAACGGCCUACCAAGGCGAUGACGGGUAGGGGACCUGAGAGGGUGGUCCCCCACACUGGCACUGAAACACGGGCCAGACACCUACGGGUGGCAGCAGUAGGGAAUAUUGCACAAUGGGCGAAAGCCUGAUGCAGCAACGCCGCGUGCGCGAAGAAGGCCUUCGGGUUGUAAAGCGCUUUUCUGGAGGAAGAGAAAGGACGGUACUCCAGGAAUAAGGAUCGGCUAACUACGUGCCAGCAGCCGCGGUAACACGUAGGAUCCGAGCGUUAUCCGAAUUUACUGGGCGUAAAGCGCGUGUAGGCGGCCGGGUAAGUUGGACGUGAAAGCUCCUGGCUCAACUAGGAGAGGUCGUUCAAAACUGCCUGGCUAGAGGGCGACAGAGGGAGGUGGAAUUCCCGGUGUAGUGGUGAAAUGCGUAGAUAUCGGGAGGAACACCAGUGGCGAAGGCGGCCUCCUGGGUCGCUCCUGACGCUCAGACGCGAAAGCUAGGGGAGCAAACGGGAUUAGAUACCCCGGUAGUCCUAGCUGUAAACGAUGUGGACUUGGCGUUGGUGGUGUCAAAGCCAUCAGUGCCGUAGCUAACGCGAUAAGUCCACCGCCUGGGGACUACGACCGCAAGGUUAAAACUCAAAGGAAUUGGCGGGGGCCCGCACAAGCAGCGGAGCGUGUGGUUUAAUUCGAUGCUA
Molecule: ribosomal RNA, 939 nt
Filed under: uncultured bacterium
Lineage: Bacteria
Description: bacterial SSU rRNA
Rfam family: Bacterial small subunit ribosomal RNA
Source: RNAcentral